ACAAGAAGGAAGCAGAAGUAUAGCAGAGUCAAUGCAAUGAUGAAGUUGGAACUUGUGAAAUCAUUUCAAAUCAUGUAUCUGCAUGCACCCUCUUAAUUUCCUUCCUCAUUGUCCACAUGUAAGUGAUUGGUUGGCAGUGAGUAUAUAAAGACCAGUGUGCUUCACAGCUGAAUCAAACUCUUCAUCAGUCAUGGACAAAAGUGUGCUGCUGGUGCUGUUGUGUCUGCAGGUUUUCCUGCUCAUCACAGCCUUCACUUCCUUCUGAUGCAGCCGCUCUACAGAAAGAGGAUCAACAACAACCGUUUCCUGACCGGGUGAAGGUGGGAGGAACUGAGGAAGAAGGAAGAAGACCAUUGCCACCCGGCUGCUGGUUAAGACCAGGUGGAUGUUCACCCUUCGGAAAGUUCCCAGUUACACCAAACCCUCCACUGACGGCUUUGGACAUAAAGACGUAAAUGUGCUUCAUAUUUUGGGGAUAAAUAUAUUAUUAGCAUAGAUCAAGAUCUGUGUUGUUUUCUUGCAAUAUAGUCAAAUAAAAAAGUGACUGUUAAGGUAAACAAAAUGUAAACAUGUAUAACACUUUCUAAAUGUAAUCAAUGUAGAUUAACUGAUUACAUUCUGGUGAUGUUGUAAAUGCUCCACUACACACAUAUUGAUAUGUUUUAUCUUGCUCUACAUCUCAGUGACUUUUCUCCUUUUUCUUCUACAUCCGUGAUAAGAAGAAAACCAAAGAAGCCGCACUGCAGAAAUUAAGACAGACAUGAAAACCUGCAUCUUCUCUUCAAGGAAGCUGUUCUAUUUUGCUUUGCUAAUUGCAUUUUUUGGUGACAAAAGUCAAUCAUUGCAUGAGCUCAGCAUUGUGAAAGCCACAAUGCUUUGUUUUGUUUACUCAUUAUGAAUAUAAAUUUACUAUAUUACUGUUUAAUUUCAGUUUAUUAUUUUGCUGUUAAAUGUUGUUAAAUGAAAAAAAUAAAAUUUCUCAAUUUUAUGCUUAGACUCAUUGUGUUUUUA
This 1011-nucleotide long non-coding RNA is filed under the name Cottoperca gobio. Its description in RNAcentral is "lncRNA (ENSCGOG00000003376.1)". Lineage: Eukaryota; Metazoa; Chordata; Actinopteri; Perciformes; Bovichtidae. The record is from RNAcentral.